RNAcentral lists this transfer RNA (87 nucleotides) under Aquisphaera giovannonii. RNAcentral's name for it is "tRNA-Ser". Lineage: Bacteria; Pseudomonadati; Planctomycetota; Planctomycetia; Isosphaerales; Isosphaeraceae. The record is from RNAcentral.
GGAAGCCAUCCGGCCGGAGAGGAACCUGCUCGGAAGGCAGGCGGCGGCCCCGGGCCGCUUGUGGGUUCGAGUCCCACGGCUUCCGCC